GUAAUACGUGGUCCUUUUAUUCUUGCAAACAGUUUAUAGUUAUGGCAGUAGUCUUUCCCUUUUAGAAUAUUGAAUAACUGUGAGUACUCAUCAAUAAAUACCAAGUAAAAUAACUUUGAAAUAUAUAUCAAAGUGGGUUUUUCCUUCUCUUCACCAGGCAUGGUGGCAAAAAGUCUUAAUACCAGACCUUGGGACCCAUAUUACUAUGAUUCCGUAAGAUUUUCUUGAUUACAAAAGACAGAGAAGAAACAAAGUCUUGAAGCUGCCUGUGUAAAGCUGCCUAAAUCCUGUUAGUGACUGCAAUGGAGCAGCAACAUGAAGCAGAAAAAGCAGAACACUUCCUGGCAUCACAGAUAUGUGGAUAAAUAUGCAGGAUAUUUGCUGAAUGCAGCAUCAACAUUGGUAGUAUUUUUUUGUUUUAUAUGAAAUGAAUAAUUACUCAGAGCAAAACAGAUAGUUUUACUUCAGGAAACAGCAGUUUAUAAUGCAUCUUCCUUCACCUUCAAAAUAGGAAAAGUGAACCCAGCACAUAUCUGGUUAUAUUCCAGUGCUCCUUUGUUUGCCUUGGCGUUUGCUUCACUUUUAUAUAAAUUAGUCCAAGUUGCUUGGGUGGUGUUAAUCAUUCUGUUGUUUGUCUACAUGUUCAAUGUCCUUAAAGCUUGUAGUAGUAAUGGGCUGCUAUUUUUUUUCAAGUAGACUGGUUCACUUUCCUCAAUAUCUGUGCAAACUACAGAAAAUCAAUGGUGGCAAGUUAUUAAUUUUCAAUUUUCAUUGUGAAUUGGAUAACAUUAUGGUGUUUAGCUGAAUAAUACAUUAUGUCUAAUGGUGCCUGGUAUUAUAAAUUAUACUUUGAUUAUAAUCUUCCCUUUUAAAGCUAAGAAAUUUUGCCCUGGAAUAUUCUCUUGAUCUGUUUAAGUCUCACACAUUAAAAAAAAAUUCACAUGUACCUGAGGAGGAUUCUGACAGAUUUUUUUUUCUCUGAAUAAAGUUUGUAGAAUCAAUUGUGUAACAGAAUAAGAUAUUUUUUUCUAAAAAAUGCAGUGUUAAAAUAGACAUAAAAUCUAUUUGUAAAACAACACUAAAAUAUUUUUAGUAAUAUUUUGUCUUUAAAAUGUUAUGGUUAGCAAUAGAAAUAAUAUAUAUUAGAUAAAUACUUUCAACAUUAUUAAUGCCAAAUCCUAGAUCCAUUGCAAGGAAAGAAGAAUGCUGUCAGCACUAUCUGCUAGACUCAGUUGUAAUUUUGGAUUACACAGUGUUGAAGAAUGGGAGCUAGUGUAGAUGCACCAAAAAAGAGAAGUUGAAAAUCUACAGUCAAUGUAUCAUAAAAUGCCCAGGGAGAUUUCUCUAAUAAAAAGGAGGAGGAACAUGAGCGGCAACAGAAGAACCUGGCUGCACUGCAUCUUGCAGCAGCUUGGACAGUCUCUUCAGAAGGUGCCUCACAUCCAUCUUUUACCAAGAUGAACGCACGGAUUCAGAGCAGUCACCUCAUGCCAGGCAAAG
Molecule: long non-coding RNA, 1500 nt
Organism: Neopsephotus bourkii (Bourke's parrot)
Lineage: Eukaryota; Metazoa; Chordata; Aves; Psittaciformes; Psittacidae
Exons: 3
Source: RefSeq, a predicted model, not a curated record